This 373-nucleotide ribosomal RNA is filed under the name uncultured organism. Its description in RNAcentral is "partial 16S ribosomal RNA". It matches the Rfam family "Bacterial small subunit ribosomal RNA", at positions 527 to 896 of the family's 1533-position model. The record is from RNAcentral.
GAACCGUCCAAACGUUAUUCGGAACCAUUGGGCUUAAAGGGUGCGUAGGCGGUGCGGUAAGUUGGGUGUGAAAUCCCUCGGCUCAACCGAGGAACCGCGCUCAAAACUGUUGCACUAGAGGGAGACAGAGGUAAGCGGAACUGAUGGUGGAGCGGUGAAAUGCGUUGAUAUCAUCAGGAACACCAGUGGCGAAAGCGGCUUACUGGGUCUCUUCUGACGCUGAGGCACGAAAGCUAGGGUAGCGAACGGGGAUUAGAUACCCCGGUAGUCCUAGCUGUAAACGAUGAGCACUUGAUCGGAGACUCCUCCAUAGGUUUCCCGGUCGUAGCGAAAGUGUUAAGUGCUCCGCCUGGGGGAUAUGGUCGCAAGGCUG